CGCGAAGUUAGUUGAGCUAAGUAAUUAUAAGUAUUAGCUUGAUAAUAUGUUGCAAAAUAUAGUAAAUACUUACUUAGGGGUGAUAGGCUUAUCAAACCUAACUAUAUCUCGAUAUUUUUUAAAAACAUAAAGUGUUAAAACAGUUAAGUAGUUAUAAGGCUAUUUAAAAUCAUUAAUAAUUAAUAAUUGUAUUUGUUUAGGUCUAAUCACCAAACAUUGUGUUUAACUAAUAUAAAUAUAUAUAUAAUUAUGUUAACUAAAAGAUUUCGUUAUAAUACUUAUUAAACGUUUAUAAUGUACUUAUUAGUAUUUUAAAAAUUAUUAAAAAUGAACUCGGCAAUAUACCUUUCAACUGUUUAUCAAAAACAUAGCUAUGUGUAUAUAUACAUAGUAAUUUCUGCUCCAUGACCCAUUAAAUAGCCGCAGUACCCUGACUGUGCAAAGGUAGCGUAAUAAUUUGACUUAUAAUUGAAGUCCAGUAUAAACGAAAACUUGAGGGGUAACUUUAUCUUUGGUAUUUUAUGAAAUUACUUAGUAAGUGCAAAGCCUUACAUAUUAAUGAUAGACGAGAAGACCCUAGAAAUUUUUAUAACAUGUAUUAAUACUUUUUGUUGGGGCAACAAAGUAUCAGUUAAUUUACUUUAACAAACAAGCACACAUAUAAGGAAGAGUAAAUUACUCUAGGGAUAACAGCGUAAUUUUAUACAAGUUUGCGACCUCGAUGUUGGAUUAGGAAACAGUUGUUCAGAA
RNAcentral lists this ribosomal RNA (750 nucleotides) under Pseudomesodontrachia cockburnensis. RNAcentral's name for it is "partial 16S ribosomal RNA". Lineage: Eukaryota; Metazoa; Mollusca; Gastropoda; Stylommatophora; Camaenidae. The record is from RNAcentral.